AAGAAGCCUUAAGUAAAUAAAUGUCUGUUCAGUCAGUUCCCCUCGCCUCUGUGGCGAUAGGACCACAGUCUGGCGAGAUGAUACGGUGCACUCUAUGCGACGAGCGGAACACUUGGUGUGGCAAACCGACGCAGGACGGUCAGGGUCUGUCAGACGUACGCGCAGCAGUAGCGCGUUUACCCCGAGGUGCACAGACACAAUUGAAGUGGUGGUGCUCAUGAUGCUUUGUGUAAGAACAAACUCAGAUCUCAAACCACCGGGAAAAUGGUAAGUUUAAUAUUUUAAAGUUAUGAUGAAUUAAAUUAAUAGUGAAGGAAUGUGCACUAUGUUCAAUCUGGUUGGCUAUACAGUUAAAGUUGGAAGUUUACAUACACUUAGGUUGGAGUCAUUGAAACUCGUUUUUCAACCUCCACACAUUUCUUGUUAACAAACUAUAGUAUUGGCAAGUCGGUUUGGACAUCUACUUUGUGCAUGACUCAAGUAAUUUUCCAACAAUUGUUUACAGAUUAUUUAACGUAUAAUUCACUAUCUCAAUUCCAGUGGGUCAGAAGCUUACAAAAACAAAGUUGACUGUGCCUUUUAAACAGCUUGGAAAAUUCCAGAAAAUUAUGCCAUAGCUUUAGAAGCUACUGAUAGGCUAAUUGACAUCAUUUGAGUCAAUUGGAGGUGUACCUGUGGAUGUAUUUCAAGGCCUACCUUCAAGCUCAGUGCUUCUUUGCUUGACAAAAUGCAGACCUCCACAAGUCUGAUUCAUCCUUGGGAGCAAUUUCCAAACUCCUGAAGGUACCACGUUCAUCUGUACAAACAAUAGUACACAAAUAUAAACACCAUGGGACCACGCAGCUGUCAUACCGCUCAGGAAGGAGACGGGUUCGGUCUCCUUGAGAUGAACGUACUUUGGUGUGAAAUGUGCAAAUCAAUCCCAGACCAACAGUAAAUGACUUUGUGAAGAUGCUGGAGGAAACAAGUACAAAAGUAUCUAUAUCCACAGUAAAACGAGUCCUAUAUCGACUUAACCUGAAAGGCCGCUCAGCAAGGAAGAAGCCACUGCUCCAAAACCGCCAUAAAAAAGCCAAACUACGGUCUGAAACUGCAUAUGGGGACAAAGAUGGUACUUUUUGGAGAAAUGUCCUCUGUUCUGAUGUAAAAAAAAAAAGUAGAACUGUUUGGCCAUUGUUCUGUUUGAAGGAAAAAAGGGGAGGCUUACAAGCUCAAGAACACCAUCCCAACUGUGAAGCACGGGGGUGGCAGCAUCAUGUUGUGGGGGUGCUUUGCUGCAGGAGGGACUGGUGUACUUCAAAAUAGAUGGCAUCAUGCAGAAGGAAAAUGAUGUGGAUAUAUUGAAGCAACAUCUCAAGACAUCAGUCAGGAAGUUAAAGUUUGGUUGCAAAUGGGUCUUCCAAAUGGACAAUGACACCAAGCAAUACUUCCAAAGUUGUGGCAAAAUGGCUUAAGGAAAACAAAGUCAAGGUAUUGGAGUGGCCAUCACAAAGCCCUGACAUCAAUCCUAUAGAAAAUUAGUGGGCAGAACUUAAAAAGCAUGUGCGAGCAAGGAGGCCUACAAACCUGACUCAGUUACACCAGCUCUGUCAGGAAGAAUGGGCCAAAAUUCACCCAACAUAUUGUGGGAAGCUUGUGGAAGGCUACCCAAAACAUUUGACCCAAGUUAAACAAUUUAAAGGCAAUGCUACCAAAUACUAAUUGAGUGUAUGUAAACUUCUGAUCCACUGGGAAUGUGAUGAAAGAAAUAAAAGCUGAAAUAAAUCACUACUAUUAUUCUGACAUUUCACAUUCUUAAAAUAAAGUGGUGAUCCUAACUGUCCUAAAACAGGGAUUUUUUACUAGGAUUAAAUGUCAGGAAUUGUGAAAAACUGAGUUGAAAUGUAUUUGGCUAAGGUGUAUGUAAACUUCUGACUUCAACUGUAAAUGCUUUAGCCUAAAUAAAAUGUAUGUUGGCGCUAUUUGCUGUUUUGCAAAAUAAUGCAAUAGAAAUUUAAAUUUAGUUACAACAAUAUAUAUCUGUAGACUUGAAUGUCAUUCUCUCGCAUGUCAUGUUUAGUUCCCAUAUGCUACCACCACCACAUUUGUGGUCUCGUUUCCCCUUCCUUGCUUCCGAGAGCAGUGUGCAGAGGCCAGUGUUGGGGUAGCAGGGGAGUACAUGCGAAGUGGAGGGUGAGAUACAAGCUGGCCAGGUAGCACAGGAAUGCAUUCAACUGGAAAGGGAGAGGGGGCUCUUGGAGAGGAUGCUGAGGAGCCUGAGGUGUGAAAUGCUGAUCAACAAGAAGAGUGUGGAGGGAGGACAAUAAUACCAGCUACUACUGAGACUGGCAGAGACGGAGCAGACCAUUUGCUGGAGUCUGAAAAGAGAACUCACUGAGCUGAAACAGGAGAUGGAGAGCACUCCGAGGAGCACACUACGGGUGAUGACAUCUAACUGCUAGAGGCCAGGUUACUGUAAAAGCCUACGGCAAAUGCUAAUACCCUGGGUCAGUGCAGUAGGCAGCUGUUGGACUGUGCCAGUGAGAACGCUUGUGUUCUGGAGCUUCUACCUCUCUCACUCUCCCGCUCUCUGCAGGGAGACAGGGAACUCCCUCCCAAGGCCUCAUAAAACUACCAGAGCCUUUUGGCCCCUUCACUCCAUGUGUUAUGUCAAUAGCAUACUGUACUAAUGUAACACAGUUUACGGCACUGCAUUGACGUCACCUUGUCCCAUAUAGUGCCUAUUGUGGUUGCACUUUGUUUUGUCAGUGAUUCACCUAGUUUUUGUCUUAAACACUACAUGGUGACAGUGUAGUUACAUAAUAGCCAUUCAUUUAUUUAUUUGAACCAGCAGCUGUAGGCUUAACAUUUGCUUGUUAGUCCCACAAAUUGCCCAUUUCUACUAUACACUCUUAGCGGAUACUAUGCAAAUAUCAUCUGAAACAGGUCUGUAAAAUAAAGAAUUACCCACAUCUUUCCCUUCUCUCAGAAUGUAAGUAGGUUCUGGAGUCUACCACUCUGGCUGUGAACCAAUCACAGCUGCUACGAGAGAACAUCAGGCAGAUGUCAGUGAAGCUCUGGUGAAGAAAAUAGCUGAGACAGUCACUCUGAAGCCUCCAGGCUGGCCAUUUUCUGCUAACAGAGGCAGCUGAACUGCAUUCAUCACAGCCAUGACAGAGCACUGGUCAGUAUGGCCCUGAGUACAGCGGGGAUAUGCUUUCCAGAGAGAAACUGAACAGGCCUAUAGUAAAUGUUUACCACAGACACCCUGGGACCCAGUUACCUGAGGCUGCUCAUCUCAUACAGGGUAGUUCUGUGUUGAGACACUGCCUGCUGUCCUCUAAAGAGGAGCUCGUCAGGCUACAGGGCACAUGUCUGGAGCGGGUGGACAACCUGCACAGCAAGAGGGCCGCAGAGCAGGUGGACUCUUCCGUGGUCAGGCUGCGGCGGCAGCUGGUCGAUAGACGAGCAAUGCCCACUUUCCUCCAACAGGGGUUGUACUAAACUCAUUAUGUAGUGCAUGACUCAAUUCAUCUUUCUUCAUUGUUUCCUCUCUCCUUGGUUCCUUCUCAAAAAUGCAUUGGAGAAGAUCAGAGGGAAGAAAGAUAAGGUUCCUCCCCUCUGAUCUUCUCCUCCAAUGCAUUUUGAGAAGUAGAUGAGGAGAGGAAUCAAGGAAAGAGAAGAGUCCCUAUCUAUAGUUGUAUACAAGCGUAUGUGUGUGUUUUAUCCUGGAUGAAGUGAAAGAGGGACCAAUGUGCUGAAAAGGGACCAUUUAAACAAGAUGAUUAGGAAGGUAUGUUUAACCUAGUCAUGUGUGGCAUCCCAACUCUCAAUUAACCACAUUUCUGCAUUACACCAUUAACGUGUACUUGAAAUAAACAUAAACAGUAUUUCUCUGCAACCUCAGCCCCAUUUGCUUAUUGUAUGAGAGUCCCUUAGAGCAUAAAUGUGCAUGUUUCAUUUGCCUGUACUUGAUCUCCUUGUCAUACUGCCAUUUUGUACAGCUUGGCAUCUAUAAUGCGAAUUGAAUAUGUUCAGCAUAGACUGCAUUAGAAUCACAAACAGUGUACUGUUUAUGUUCAACUUCACCUCUGAAUAA
Molecule: long non-coding RNA, 4078 nt
Organism: Oncorhynchus masou masou (cherry salmon)
Lineage: Eukaryota; Metazoa; Chordata; Actinopteri; Salmoniformes; Salmonidae
Exons: 6
Source: RefSeq, a predicted model, not a curated record